RNAcentral lists this long non-coding RNA (997 nucleotides) under Calidris pugnax (ruff). RNAcentral's name for it is "lncRNA (ENSCPUG00000015298.1)". Lineage: Eukaryota; Metazoa; Chordata; Aves; Charadriiformes; Scolopacidae. The record is from RNAcentral.
GGGGGUCCCUCAGCGGCCCCGCGGCCGAGCCCCUUCAGUCGCCCCGCAGAGUCUAGCGGUGGUGCCCGUCGGUCGCCCUUGCGGAGCCGGGGGCGGCCCUUCGGCGGGGUGCGGAGCUCCUCGGUAGCCCCGCGGCACGGAGCCCGUCGGUAGCCCGGCGGAGGCCGUCGUUGGCCGCGCGGGGAGGAGGACUCUUGCAUGUGAGUUAAAUUAAUUUCUUGAGAGAAACCUUCAUAAAGGGCUAAAUAAACAAGAUCUGCAUAUACAGAAAGUUCUGCACUUGAGACACAGCUAAACUCGUCUGUCUGGAAAUCUGAAGACUUUUAUAGCAAACCCUCCAGUGUCAAAAUGAACACAGAUAGCGGUGGGUGCGCUCGCAAACGUGCUGCCAUGUCUGUCACAUUAACAGCUGUGAAGAGGGUUCAGAGUUCUCCAAACCUAUUGGCCUCAGGUAUAACCCGCUAACCCAGGGAAAUGCUCCUCCUCCCGCCUGCCUUCUCUCUAGCCUUACACCUUCCUGCAAUGUUGCUCCCCAAGGAGGACGAGGGUAACCCUAUUUUCUAGCCCACUGACAGGUCUGUUACUUCUACAAUGCUCUUUAAAAACCAAUCUUAAUUUCUCUCUGCCUGUGCUUAGUAGCUGUUAAUGAAAAAAAAAAAAAAAAGAGAUAUAAUGCUCUUUAAAAACCAAUCUUAAUCUCUGCCUGUGCUUAGUAGCCAUUAAUGGAAAAAAAAAAUUAAGGAGACAGGAAAAAUCAGUUAUUUAUAAAUUUAUUUUAUCUUUGCUAUGUAUUUUGGGUCUCAUCUCCACUGUUUUAUUUCAGGAUAACAUAGCAUGAAAAAUAGCCUUUUUUAAUCUCAAACUUUGUUUACUGCAACUGGCUUUCCUUUGCUAUAUAUUUUGGGUCUCCACUGUUUUAUUUCAAGAUAACAUAGCAUGAAAAAUAGCCUUUGUUUAUCUCAAACUUUGUUUACUGCAACUGGCUUUAAAAGCUCAU